CCUACGGGAGGCAGCAGUGGGGAAUUUUACGCAAUGGGCGAAAGCCUGACGUAGCGACACCGCGUGAGCGAAGAAGCCUUUUGGGGUGUAAAGCUCUGUCAGCAGGGACGAAAAAAAUGACGGUACCUGCAGAGGAAGCAUCGGCUAACUACGUGCCAGCAGCCGCGGUAAGACGUAGGAUGCAAGCGUUGUCCGGAUUUAUUGGGCGUAAAGAGUUCGUAGGUGGUUCGUUAAGUCUGAUGUUAAAGAUCGGGGCUCAACCUCGGGAGUGCAUUGGAUACUGGCGGACUUGAGUGCAGUAGAGGCAAGCGGAAUUCCCAGUGUAGCGGUGAAAUGCGUAGAUAUUGGGAAGAACACCGGUGGCGCAAGCGGCUUGCUGGGCUGUAACUGACACUGAGGAACGAAAGCUAGGGGAGCGAAUGGGAUUAGAUACCCCUGUA
Molecule: ribosomal RNA, 440 nt
Filed under: uncultured bacterium
Lineage: Bacteria
Description: bacterial SSU rRNA
Rfam family: Bacterial small subunit ribosomal RNA
Source: RNAcentral